Molecule: ribosomal RNA, 372 nt
Filed under: uncultured bacterium
Lineage: Bacteria
Description: bacterial SSU rRNA
Rfam family: Bacterial small subunit ribosomal RNA
Source: RNAcentral
GGAGGGAGCGAGCGUUGUCCGAAGUUACUGGGCGUAAAGCGCGCGUAGGCGGGGAAUUAAGUGAGAAGUGAAAGGCUGGGGCUCAACCCCAUGCAGUGCUUCUCAUACUGGUUUUCUUGAGGGUGGUAGAGAGAAGUGGAAUGGCUGGUGUAGCGGUGAAAUGCGUAGAUAUCAGUCGGAACACCGGUGGCGAAGGCGGCUUCUUGGGCCAUUUCUGACGCUGAGGCGCGAAAGCUAGGGGAGCGAACGGGAUUAGAUACCCCGGUAGUCCUAGCCGUAAACGAUGGAUACUAGGUGUCGGGGGUAUCGACCCCUCCGGUGCCGCAGCUAACGCACUAAGUAUCCCGCCUGGGGAGUACGGCCGCAANGUGG